ACCUUAGUAGUGCAAUCGGUAGCACAUCAGAUUGGACAUCUAUGACUUGCGGGUUCAAGCACCGCCUGAGGUU
Molecule: transfer RNA, 73 nt
Filed under: Dictyocaulus viviparus (bovine lungworm)
Lineage: Eukaryota; Metazoa; Nematoda; Chromadorea; Rhabditida; Metastrongylidae
Rfam family: tRNA
About the family: Transfer RNA (tRNA) molecules are approximately 80 nucleotides in length. Their secondary structure includes four short double-helical elements and three loops (D, anti-codon, and T loops).
Source: Rfam by way of RNAcentral